AUUGAACGCUGGCGGCAGGCCUAACACAUGCAAGUCGAACGAGUGGCGGACGGGUGAGUAAUGUCUGGGAAACUGCCUGAUGGAGGGGGAUAACUACUGGAAACGGUAGCUAAUACCGCAUACCAUCGGAUGUGCACAGAUGGGAUUAGCUUGGUGGUGGGGUAACGGCUCACCAAGGCGACGAUCCCUAGCUGGUCUGAGAGGAUGACGAGCCCAGUUGGAACGGAGACACUGUCCAGACUCCUACGGGAGGCAGCAUUGUGGAAUAUGUCACAUGGGGCGCAAGCCUAAUGCAGCCAUGCCGCGUGUAUGAAGAAGGCCCUCGGGUUGUAAAGUACUUUUAGCGGGGAGGCGUUACCCGCAGAAGAAGCACCGGCUAACUCCGUGCCAGCAGCCGCGUAAUUC
Molecule: ribosomal RNA, 405 nt
Filed under: uncultured bacterium
Lineage: Bacteria
Description: partial 16S ribosomal RNA
Rfam family: Bacterial small subunit ribosomal RNA
Source: RNAcentral